UGUCGCGUACACAGCUGUACACGACUGUUCACUAUUACGAGCAUAUAUAUGUUACCGUCAUUACCGACCAAUAAAUAUGUGUGUGUUUGAAAUACGUACCUUCAGUGUUGGCUAAUUCAUGUAUAAUGUGUACAGCGGUAUAUCUAAUAAUUUACGCAGGAACCCUAGACGAUCACGGGUAACAACUCAACAUUACAAUGGUGCACGUGACCACUGCGUAUCGAUAUAUCGUUGUAGCAUGAAUUAUGUGCUGUAUUUUAUGUAUUAUUAUUAACAUGUGUUUUCUUUGUGAGAUUGUGAGUCGACGAGCUGCAGUGACGAGAGCGCACGAUUCGAAGUCACUCAUAUCACUACCACCAUCGUUGUACGCAUUACAAUGGUACUAGGUGCCCAGCGCGUAUGUUACUAAAUGAAUUUCGUAACUGUUGAGAAUUGUUUAUCUGUUAUAUGUCAGUGCUAACCCAUGUGCCUUUGUCUUGAGAUAUCCAUCGACACACUCAAGGAACCCGACGUGUACAAUCUCAGCAGAUCGACAGCUUGUUCACUACUAUCGUCGCAUCAUUUUUCCCGACCAGCACCAUUAUGAUGGAGGGAUGCGGCAUCAACAGGUGGCCAACCGACGAAGAAGGCAUGAUAGUGUGGUGCGAGAGCGACAGUGACGAAACACCUCAUAUCGACAGUUACGUAGCUCGCCGCCCCAACCAGCAGCCGAGCUCACAAGGAGAGCCACCCCACAAACGAUUCUGGGCGAGUCAGUUUACCCUACCCGCAAACGGGGUGCCGACCGCCACGAGGACAACCGCAACCACGACCACGACGACCACGACGACAGCGAGGACAACGACGACGAGGAGGACUUUUACAACUGGGACCCGAAGCCCAGUGGAGCACCGCCAGUGCACACGAGCUACGACGACGACGACGACGAUCACGAGACGACGACCACCACAGCGACGACACGGACCCCACACCAACGGACCACGAGGACGACGGCGACUGCGCUAGAUUGUUUAUUAUUAUAUAACAGAAAAUAAUGUUUAAUAGAAUAUAAAGUAAAAUAAAAAUCCAUUGUUAGUUAAAGUAAAUUUUAGUUAAUUUAGUUAAGUAAAAUUAGGUGGAGGUGUUUU
Long non-coding RNA from Priapulus caudatus, 1127 nucleotides. RefSeq lists it as uncharacterized. Lineage: Eukaryota; Metazoa; Priapulida; Priapulimorpha; Priapulimorphida; Priapulidae. The record is from RefSeq and is a predicted model, not a curated record. The transcript has 2 exons.